RNAcentral lists this transfer RNA (72 nucleotides) under Bos taurus (domestic cattle). It matches the Rfam family "tRNA". From Rfam's summary of the family: Transfer RNA (tRNA) molecules are approximately 80 nucleotides in length. Their secondary structure includes four short double-helical elements and three loops (D, anti-codon, and T loops). The record is from Rfam by way of RNAcentral. RNAcentral also lists the same sequence under 5 other names. Lineage: Eukaryota; Metazoa; Chordata; Mammalia; Artiodactyla; Bovidae.
UCCCUGGUGGCUCAGAGGUAAAGUUUCUGCCUGACAAUGCAGGAGACACAGGUUUGAUCCCUGAUCUGGGAA